This 492-nucleotide ribosomal RNA is filed under the name uncultured bacterium. RNAcentral describes it as "bacterial SSU rRNA". It matches the Rfam family "Bacterial small subunit ribosomal RNA", at positions 373 to 883 of the family's 1533-position model. The record is from RNAcentral.
GGAGGAAACUCUGAUGCAGCGACGCCGCGUGAGUGAAGAAGGUCUUCGGAUCGUAAAACUCUGUCCUUGGUGAAGAAAGAAAUGACGGUAGCCAAGGAGGAAGCCCCGGCUAACUACGUGCCAGCAGCCGCGGUAAUACGUAGGGGGCGAGCGUUGUCCGGAUUUACUGGGCGUAAAGGGUGAGUAGGCGGUUGUAUGUGUCAGAUGUAAAAGGCUAAGGCUUAACCAUAGUUAGCAUUUGAAACUGUACAACUUGAGUGCAGGAGAGGUAAGUGGAAUUCCUAGUGUAGCGGUGAAAUGCGUAGAUAUUAGGAGGAACACCAGUGGCGAAGGCGACUUACUGGACUGUAACUGACGCUGAGUCACGAAAGCGUGGGUAGCAAACAGGAUUAGAUACCCUGGUAGUCCACGCUGUAAACGAUGAGUGCUAGGUGUUGGGUAGCGAUACUCAGUGCCGAAGUAAACACAAUAAGCACUCCGCCUGGGGAGUAC